UAAUGUUAUGCAUGCUUGAGCCACACAAAAAAGUUUGAGAUUAAAUGAAGUGGUAGGAACCAGGAAGGAACAGGGACAACCACCGGUGAGUGGAGCAAGUGAACAGCUACCUUUCACGUUGUGCCCGUACAACCAAAUAUAUGUCCAAAGCAGGUGAUCAGAGUGUUUGUAAUAUUUUUGUAUACUUUUUUAUAUUGAGCAUCAUACCCUCAUUAUUUUCUUUCAACGGCAGGGGUGGACAUGCUUACAUUGCAUGCAAUGGGCUGGAACCAUAAAAAAGUAUCUCUCUACAUCAGGCACUUUCCACAAUAUAUGUGAAAACAUCCAGCACGAGACUGCAAGGCUAGCAGAACUAAAAACAAAGCUACAUCGCACAGAUAAAGGAAUGUCACAAUGGCUUUCUGAUGUGAAAGAAUGGGUAGCUCGUGAGACAUCAGAAACAUCUCAUGCCAGUCAAGACACCACACACAGAGAACUUCAGCAGUCAUUUGAGGGGCUUUAUCUUAGUGUGAUGCUGCGCAAGCAAACUCUCUACUGUCAGAAUGACAGCAGCAAGCUUUGCCACCGCCUUCAAAGGAAGCUGGCAGAUGACAAAAGCUCCUUCUUCAGGAGAUACAGAACUACAAUGAUCUUGUACUAGACUCUGCCACAAACAUCAUUGACCUAGCUGUGGAGAGCAGUGUGUCUCAGAUAUGGCCGUGGGACCUUCAUGGCAGUGCAAACAUUUCAGUCAAGAAACGAUUGCAUGACCAAGUGAUGUUGACAAUGUGACUGCAAGAGGAAAGGGGCAUUGUGGUGUUGGAGAUGGCUCAACAAUACACAUGGUUGCAGAGCC
Non-coding RNA from Misgurnus anguillicaudatus (oriental weatherfish), 835 nucleotides. The record is from RefSeq and is a predicted model, not a curated record. Lineage: Eukaryota; Metazoa; Chordata; Actinopteri; Cypriniformes; Cobitidae.